This 171-nucleotide non-coding RNA is filed under the name human gut metagenome. Its description in RNAcentral is "malK-I RNA". It matches the Rfam family "malK-I RNA". The record is from RNAcentral.
CGCCUCUACUCCAUUCUCAUAGGAGCGGGGGAGCCGUAAAAAAGGAGGAGACCACCCCGCCGGCCGGCGGUGCGGCAGUGUGGAGACCUGUCGCAAAGCGGAGCCCGUUCUGCCCGGGCUCUGCGAGGGGGUAUUUGCGGAGGCUUUGCCCCUACGGCCAACUGCAAUGGC